CAGUCGCCGCGGGAACACGUAGGGUGCAAGCGUUAAUCGGAAUUACUGGGCGUAAAGCGUGCGUAGGUGGUGGUUUAAGUCCGUUGUGAAAGCCCUGGGCUCAACCUGGGAAUUGCAGUGGAUACUGGAUCACUAGAGUGUGGUAGAGGAUAGUGGAAUUUCCGGUGUAGCAGUGAAAUGCGUAGAGAUCGGAAGGAACAUCUGUGGCGAAGGCGACUAUCUGGGCCAACACUGACACUGAGGCACGAAAGCGUGGGGAGCAAACAGGAUUAGAUACCCCGGUAGUCCCUGUCUCUUAUAC
This 301-nucleotide ribosomal RNA is filed under the name uncultured bacterium. RNAcentral's name for it is "partial 16S ribosomal RNA". It matches the Rfam family "Bacterial small subunit ribosomal RNA", at positions 509 to 807 of the family's 1533-position model. The record is from RNAcentral.